This 727-nucleotide ribosomal RNA is filed under the name uncultured bacterium. RNAcentral describes it as "bacterial SSU rRNA". It matches the Rfam family "Bacterial small subunit ribosomal RNA", at positions 90 to 851 of the family's 1533-position model. The record is from RNAcentral.
GGGGAGCGGCGGACGGGUGAGUAACACGUGGGAAUUUUCCUCAAGGUACGGAACAACUCAGGGAAACUUGGGCUAAUACCGUAUGAUGCAGAGAUGCCAAAGAUUUAUCGCCUUGGGAUAAGCCCGCGUCAGAUUAGGUAGUUGGUGGGGUAAUGGCCUACCAAGCCUGUGAUCUGUAGCUGGUCUGAGAGGACGAUCAGCCACAUUGGGACUGAGACACGGCCCAAACUCCUACGGGAGGCAGCAGUGGGGAAUCUUGCGCGAUGGGCGAAAGCCUGACGCAGCCAUGCCGCGUGAAUGAUGAAGGUCUUAGGAUUGUAAAGUUCUUUAGCCUGUGACGAUGAUGACGGUAACAGGAGAAUAAGCCCCGGCUAACUUCGUGCCAGCAGCCGCGGUAAUACGAAGGGGGCUAGCGUUGUUCGGAAUUACUGGGCGUAAAGCGCGCGUAGGCGGUUAUGCAAGCCAGAGGUGAAAUGCCUGAGCUCAACUUAGGAAUUGCCUUUGGAACUGCAUGGCUUUGAGGACGAGAGAGGUGAGUGGAAUUCCCAGUGUAGAGGUGAAGUUCGUAGAUAUUGGGAAGAACACCGGUGGCGAAGGCGGCUCACUGGCUCGUUUCUGACGCUGUAGCGCGAAAGCGUGGGGAUCAAACAGGAUUAGAUACCCUGGUAGUCCACGCCGUAAACGAUGANGUGCUAGGUGUUGGCACGCUUGCGUGUCAGUGCCGCAG